This 253-nucleotide ribosomal RNA is filed under the name uncultured bacterium. RNAcentral's name for it is "partial 16S ribosomal RNA". It matches the Rfam family "Bacterial small subunit ribosomal RNA", at positions 524 to 776 of the family's 1533-position model. The record is from RNAcentral.
UACAGAGGUCCCAAGCGUUGUUCGGAUUCACUGGGCGUAAAGGGUGCGUAGGCGGUCGGGUAAGUCUGAUGUGAAAUCUCACAGCUUAACUGUGAAACUGCAUUGGAUACUAUCCGGCUCGAGGAAUGGAGGGGAGACUGGAAUACUUGGUGUAGCAGUGAAAUGCGUAGAUAUCAAGUGGAACACCAGUGGCGAAGGCGAGUCUCUGGACACUUCCUGACACUGAGGCACGAAAGCUAGGGGAGCAAACAGG